Molecule: ribosomal RNA, 497 nt
Filed under: uncultured bacterium
Lineage: Bacteria
Description: partial 16S ribosomal RNA
Rfam family: Bacterial small subunit ribosomal RNA
Source: RNAcentral
GAUGAACGCUGGCGGCGUGCCUAAUACAUGCAAGUCGAGCGAACAGACGAGGAGCUUGCCCCUCUGACGUUAGCGGCGGACGGGUGAGUAACACGUGGAUAACCUACCUAUAAGACUGGGAUAACUUCGGGAAACCGGAGCUAAUACCGGAUAAUAUAUUGAACCGCAUGGUUCAAUAGUGAAAGACGGUUUUGCUGUCACUUAUAGAUGGAUCCGCGCCGCAUUAGCUAGUUGGUAAGGUAACGGCUUACCAAGGCAACGAUGCGUAGCCGACCUGAGAGUGUGAUCGGCCACACUGGAACUGAGACACGGUCCAGACUCCUACGGGAGGCAGCAGUAGGGAAUCUUCCGCAAUGGGCGAAAGCCUGACGGAGCAACGCCGCGUGAGUGAUGAAGGUCUUCGGAUCGUAAAACUCUGUUAUUAGGGAAGAACAAAUGUGUAAGUAACUAUGCACGUCUUGACGGUACCUAAUCAGAAAGCCACGGCUAACUACGUG